RNAcentral lists this long non-coding RNA (5026 nucleotides) under Vigna radiata. RNAcentral describes it as "long non-coding RNA (VRAD_LNC010606)". The record is from RNAcentral. Lineage: Eukaryota; Viridiplantae; Streptophyta; Magnoliopsida; Fabales; Fabaceae.
UUGAGAAGUGGAGAGAGAAAGGUGACGGUGGAGUAAAGCUAGCCAUUGUUCGUUGAAAGAUAGAGCCAGCCGUGAGUGACGGUUGGUUCUUCUGUGGAGGAGAAGACGAGAAUAACCAUAGUAUAUGCCCUUCCUCUUGGAUAAGGUAUGCAUUUCUUUUUUUAAUUUUCUUCUAAUUUUUCCCUUUUUCAUUAUUCAUUCCAAUAAUAAUUCUCUCUCUGGGCUUCUUCUUCAGCUUCUUUUGGGUCGCCUCUCUCUUUCUUCCUGCACUCCCCAAUUUUCUUCUUUCACUCCCUCAUUCAAGGUCAGUUUACUGUAUUUCCUAAUUCUUUUCCAUUUUAUGCUUUUCUCUCAAAUUUGUUUCUGAAACAAUCAAGACACUAAAAUCAUAUUUUGAAUAUUUUUUAAUUUAAAGUAUUAUUUUUGUCAUUUUUUUAAUAUUUUCCUUCUGGUCACAUGAUUGGUGAACUGAAAGCUUUGCCGAAAAGAGAUGGUGGAUAAGGGAUGAACUAAUCAUUGCGUGAAUUUCAGAACAUUACCUUCCUCUUUUGCUUUUCACCUAUUUUUUUCUCAGAUAAAAAGGUGGAAAGUUAAUCAACCUUAGCGGAAUCUUAUCAUUAAUAAUAAAUUGAUUUUUUUUAUUGAAAAUUAUUAAAAAUUGCAUUGCGAUGAAAUUGUAUGAAGGACAUUCACUUAUUCAAUAAUGAUAAUAAUAAUUUAAUUCCUCGUAUGAAAUUGUACGAAGAACAUUCUCUUUAAAUUGUUGUCUUGAAAACAUUUAUUAUGUUUAGCCUAAAAGAAUCUGAAUAAAUAAAUAAAUUUCACUUCUAAAAUCAGAAUCUACUUUAAUUCCUCGUAUCAUUCAAAGAAACUCCAGUUUGAACUCUGAAAUUGACAUAUCAACUACUCUAAUCCCUAAUGCUAGUCAAAUGAUUAAUUGACUGCUACCAGUUAAUUCAACCGGUGUUAAAAGAUCCAAUUAGGUAAUGUUCAGAAAAUUCAAGGUUUAACUGACUGUUGUAUGAAAGAUGAAUUUGAUGUUAAGGUGAUUUUCAGUGCUUUAAUUUACUCUUCGUAGAUUUCUUUAUGUCCAUUCUUUUUGCAAUCUUUUCCUUUUAUAAGAUCCAAAUUUUAAUUAAUAUUUUAUUCUCAUAUCAAUGUUUUAAAGUAGAAAAAUAUUUUUUAUUUCUCCAACUCAUCAACUUGAAUUUUAUAAUACACUAUCUGCUAUUUUAUAUAGAAAUAUUGUUAAACUAUAAAAUGACAGGAAUUGAUUUGAUGAUGAUUUGGUCUAAAAAUAACUGAACAUUCAAUAACUAAAAAAUGAGCAUUAAAACCAGAACUGACCGCUGAUGGUAAUCAGAGAUACAAACUGACCCAUCUGAGACGGAUUAAGCAUCCAAAAUUCGAAGAGCUUCCAGCCCCAAUCGCUUGCAGCAUAUAUGAAUAGACCAUUCCACUGUGCUUGAACUCGAGAACUGGUUUACAACACACAUUGUUUUCUUGUUCAACAAUUGCCCCCGAAACAUUGUAGAAUCUCAUUCAGAUAUUAAAAUGCCAAAUUUUACAAUCGAUGGAAUUACAAUAAUACGAAAGAUAGUUAAAGUUGUGUAACAAGAUCAUUCCAGAAUUAAGAAGCCACUAAUUUUUGCAUCUUUUACAACAUAUCAUGGUUCAAAGCCAUCACUCCGGACCAAUUAUUUCAAUCUGUUCUGUACAUGUAUGAGACCAUUGAAAAUAAAAGGAACAUAAAACGGACUAAAAUGUAAACAUUUUAUUUUAAUUGACAAAUGCUCUACCGAAUCAGAGAUAAAUAAAACACUACUUACCACUUACUUACUAGUUACUAGCUAAGUGCUAAGCUCUAUGAGUAUGAAGCAAAUUACGAGGCAAAUUUUGGUGUGAUGAAGUGAACAUGAAGAGGAGAACUCCAAUCACUCACUACAAAAAGGAACCGAAGAACAAACUAAAAGGCGUGCGUGAUCAAACUCCUCCUCCUCCACCGGACCGUAACUCCUCCAUCGCAGCCUUGAUCUGAUCCUGCACCAGCUCCAACCGCUUCGAAUACACUUCUAAUUCCAAUAUCUGUUGCUUCCUCCAUUUUUCAUCCACCAAUUCUCCACCACCAUAACUCAAAUUCAUCAAAGGAAUGGGGUUUAAAUUCAAGGAAACUCCUCUCCCACCAAACGCUCCCCCUCCCAUCGCUCCCACCAACUCCCUCACCACCGGCGACAGACAACUCCUCACCGUCUCCUCAAUCAAACUCGGUAUGUUAUUGCUAUAACCACUGUUAUAAUUGUUAUUAGUAGUAGCAGUAGUAGCGGUAGUGUUAGUAGCCGUAGCCGUAGCAGUAGGAGUAGCCGUAGUCGUAGCAUUGCUAGUACAAUUAAGAUCUCUGUUCGACGCGGAUCCAUCGUUUGGCUCGACUUUCACCGCCGAUCGAGGCCGGGAGCGCUUCGGUGUUUUCUUCUCCGUGGAAUUCCUGGAAGUCGUUUCGUUCUUGAGAAUUACGGGGCUAAAAUUAAGGUUAGGGUGGGGGAUGAUAGGGUUAGGGUUGGGGCAAGGGUUGAUUUCGUCGUCGUCCAAGGAAUUUUCGCCGACUGGAGCCACGCUGCUCCAGAUCUUGCGAGAGAUUUCGAAGGUGGCUUGAUCGUGUGCGCUCUUGAAGGAGAAUUCCUUGCCGGAGCCAAUCUUGUUGAGGACGUUUCGGUACUUCUUCUUCAGCCUUCGGAUCUUCUCCACCAGCUGGUUCUUGUUGAAAUCGAGUUGGAGUUUUGACUUGAUUUGGUCAUAGAACAGAGCGGUGUCGUUGUGGUGAGAGGAUCCUCUCUGAGAGGUGUAGUCCAGGAACCCUUGAAGGAGCUCGAUCUCGUCCUCGUCGGUCCACAGGCGCUGGAACAGCCGCCGCGAGUCGUCCAGCGGCGGCGGAGGCUUCUUUUCCUCGAUUGGCUCCAGGCGCCGCCGCUUCGGAUCGGAGGAGUCACCGAUGACGAUGGUGGUGGCGGUGGGCGUGGAUAGUGGCGUGCCUCCACCGUUUGAGAUGGCGGAACCGGGGACGGCGACGGUGACGGCGAGAGCGGUGGAGGGAGAGGACUCGUUUUCUUCAUCGUCGGCUGCCAAAACGUCGUCCUCUUCUUCGAACUCUUCGUCCUCCUGGGACUCGUCGUCGUCGUCCAUGUCUUCUUCGCGGAAAACGGCAUCGUGUUGUUGAGAUGCCAUUGAUAGAAAGGAGAGAGAGAGUGAGAGGUUUGGUCAGUGGUUAGGCCAAGAAGAGUGGGCUGAGUCACGGGUUUUGGUUUCUUGUUGAACUCACUUGCUCACGCAUUCACCCAUGGUUUGGUUUGGUUUGGUGAUGGUAAAAGGAAUCCGAAGGGUGGUUUUGGUUUUUAGUUUAGUUUAGGUAGCCUAGUGGACCAAGUGACCAACCAAACCUCCUGCAUCAUUUUUCUAUUCCCUAUUUUCAUUUUACAAGGAAUGUACUUUCUUCUUUUUUCCACAAACGCAACCCGAUUCAUUCCUUUUUCUAUUAUUCAUUUCGUUUAAAUAAUUACAAAACCUUGACAAUACUCCAUACUUAUUAUUUUAAUUUAAGAACUUAAUAUUUAUAUAACAUUUUAUUAUAUAAUAUUUUAUCAUUUCUAAUAUUAAUGGAAUGAGAGUAAGUAUGGAAGUAAAAAAUUAAUUUGAAAUAAAUAACUAGUUAAGAAGAACAAAAUAUGCAUUGCAAAUGUUCAGAAAACGAGAAAUAUGUUGGUUCUAACAAUGAGACCGUAUAUUCAAUAAAAUAGUCUUUUUAACAUUUCCCAGACUUUUAGGAAGAAAAGGUUUCUUUUGAAUGAAAACAAAAUAAAUAACUUAGUUAUAUAUAGACAGUAUUCUAAUUAAGAAAAUUAUUGACAAAAAUUUCACUGAUACUUGUUUUAUUACUUUUUGAAAGAUGAAUGUGCGCACUACAGAGAGAGAUCCUAAGCAUUACGAUACAACAAUUAUCUUGUUAAACCUAAUUAUAACUUCCAAUAAGUUUAUUUGUAUAAAAUGUUUAAUUAAAAGCUAAUCCUAUCUUAAAUUUAUGAAUGACGUUUUUUUUUUAAAUAUUACUUUUAUGUUCAUAAAAAUUUAUCAUGAGACGGCAUGGUAUAAUGUGUUUCUUUAAUCAAUAACCUUGUAGUUGAAACCUCAAUUACUAACCAAACAUGUUACAUUUGUAUUCCUACUACUGUUUUGUUUUCAUGUUUUCAUUUCAUCAUACUGUUUUGUUUUCAUGUUUUCAUUUCAUCAUACGGAAACAAAUUUGUGCAUCGUGAGGGCACAUUAUAGAAUCAUAAAUAUUUCAUUUUAGUUGUAUAUUAUAUUUUAAAAAUAUACACAUACAGAUAGUUGAAUGACCUUAUAUAACAGUAAAAAAUGAAACUUGUAUUUAUCUUAAACACGUUUUUUUUCAUUCUAAACUAUUCCAUGACAGAUUAAAAGAAACAUUUAACACUCAACAAUCUUGUUUUUUUUUCAUUCUAAACUAUUCCAUGACAGAUUAAAAAGAAACAUUUAACAAUCAACAAUCUUGGACGUUCAUAAAUUAUAAAUAAAAUUUAAUCGAAUUUGGUUUAAAAUAUUAUGAAAAUGAAUUAUACUGAGCAUGUAAUACAAUAGUCUUUACAAUAAUUUUUAUUUUGGCAGAUAAAAAUCCAAUAUAAUUGGACCGAAUCGCUCAACGAUAAAAUUUAUCCAAUAAAGUUGGUUGUCACAAAUAAGCUGACGACUACUUUAACAAGUUAUGAAGGAGCUAUUUCUUGUAUACAUCUAGCUAAAUAGGUUUGGUCCUAGUAACACCAUUCCUAUCUUCCAUAAAUUCGUAAAUAUAUAUUUUUUCUUAUUACUGUUUUACUAUUUCAAAUAUAAGAUCUAUUCCUGCUAAUAUAUCACACAAUGAUUUUCUUAUAUAACAUGUAGACUAUUCCUGCAAAAAUUAGUUCCAUUAACAUCUUUCAGUUCGUACAAAAAACUUGGAGUAUAUUCGAUACGAAUAAAU